This 254-nucleotide ribosomal RNA is filed under the name uncultured bacterium. RNAcentral describes it as "partial 16S ribosomal RNA". It matches the Rfam family "Bacterial small subunit ribosomal RNA", at positions 524 to 776 of the family's 1533-position model. The record is from RNAcentral.
UACGGGGGGGGCAAGCGUUGUUCGGAAUUACUGGGCGUAAAGGGCUCGUAGGCGGCCAACUAAAUCAGACGUGAAAUCCCCAGGCUUAACCUGGGAACUGCAUCCGAUACUGGAUGGCUUGAAUCCGGGAGAGGGAUGCAGAAUUCCAGGUGUAGCGGUGAAAUGCGUAGAUAUCUGGAGGAAUACCGGUGGCGAAGGCGGCAUCCUGGACCGGCAUUGACGCUGAGUGAGCGAAAGCCAGGGGAGCAAACGGG